RNAcentral lists this ribosomal RNA (402 nucleotides) under Bacteroidota bacterium. RNAcentral describes it as "Bacteroidetes bacterium partial 16S ribosomal RNA". It matches the Rfam family "Bacterial small subunit ribosomal RNA", at positions 355 to 776 of the family's 1533-position model. The record is from RNAcentral. Lineage: Bacteria; Pseudomonadati; Bacteroidota.
UGGGGAAUUUUGCACAAUGGGGGAAACCCUGAUGCAGCGACGCCGCGUGAUUUAGAAGGCCUUCGGGUUGUAAAAAUCUUUUCUAUGGGAAGAAAAUGACAGUACCAUAGGAAUAAGGACCGGCUAAUUACGUGCCAGCAGCCGCGGUAAUACGUAAGGUCCGAGCGUUGUCCGGAAUCAUUGGGCGUAAAGGGUACGUAGGCGGGUAAGCAAGUUAGAAGUGAAAUCCUGUAGCUCAACUACAGUAAGCUUUUAAAACUGCUCAUCUUGAGAGAUGGAAGGGAAGGUGGAAUUCCUAGUGUAGCGGUGAAAUGCGCAGAUAUUAGGAGGAAUACCGGUGGCGAAGGCGACUUUCUGGCCAUAAUCUGACGCUGGGGUACGAGAGCGUGGUUAGCAAAGAGG